UAAUACAGAGGCCUCAAGCGUUAGGCGGAAUCACUGGGCUUAAAGCGUGUGUAGGCGGACUUCUAAGUACCUUGUGAAAUCCCACGGCUUAACUGUGGAACUGCUUGGUAUACUGGUCGUCUUGAGCCACUCAGGGGCGAGCGGAACAAAUGGUGGAGCGGUGAAAUGCGUAGAUAUCAUUUGGAACGCCAAUGGUGAAAACAGCUCGCUGGGGGUGUGCUGACGCUGAGACACGAAAGCCAGGGGAGCGAACGGGAUUAGAUACCCCGGUAGUCCUGGCCCUAAACGAUGUCCACUAGAUCCUAGUCCCUCUGACGGGGUUAGGGUCGAAGCAAAAGUGCUAAGUGGACCGCCUGGGAAGUACGGUCGCAAGGCUA
RNAcentral lists this ribosomal RNA (377 nucleotides) under uncultured bacterium. RNAcentral describes it as "bacterial SSU rRNA". It matches the Rfam family "Bacterial small subunit ribosomal RNA", at positions 521 to 896 of the family's 1533-position model. The record is from RNAcentral.